Salvia miltiorrhiza (redroot sage) is the source of this 849-nucleotide long non-coding RNA. RefSeq lists it as uncharacterized. The record is from RefSeq and is a predicted model, not a curated record. Lineage: Eukaryota; Viridiplantae; Streptophyta; Magnoliopsida; Lamiales; Lamiaceae. The transcript has 2 exons.
GUCCGGCGAGGCAGCAUUCGACCGUCGUCGUUAACUUCGUCAUCUCGGCUCGACCGAACAGAACAGUCGGCCUCAGUUCCUGAGCAGGGCAGUAGCCCCGCUCCCUCUCAAUCAAGCUAAGUUAUAUCCUUGACUCGUCUUCUUCCUACCAUGUCUGAGUAUCGAUAAGCUUAAGCUUCUAUGAGUAAGAAAGAAUCAGGGUUUAACACUCUGUCAGUGAGCAUGCUAUCGCUAUCCUUGUUCGUUCAUUCAUGUGCUAUGUGUGAGGUCCUCAUGGUUUGUGUUCUAGAGUGCAGUGGCAGUAUACACAUAAGUCUUUCUAUUGCUAUACAUAACAUGGACUGUUUGAUGUAGUGGUAAAACAUGAUUAUGCUCGUUGGUAUGAAUGCGAACUCGAUUGGAUAACUGAGGUGGAAUAAGGGAAGAAGGUGGAGCAUUGAAGACAAGCUUACCUUGAGAAUACUUGGUAGGAUGAAUUAAAGGCUCACUUCUCCUUGUGCAGUCCUCAAAUGAAGAAUGAAGAGAAUGCAACAAUGUUGGCUGUUUUGAAUGACGAGGUGGUUUGGCUGGGAGCUUGUAUACAUGGGAGGAGGUACAUUCUAGGGUGGCUGAUUGACAUAUUUAGGUGUACUUGGGCAUGGCAGCCUGCUGCAUAGGCGUGGGAAAAGAAAAGGUGCAGCAAGCUCAAGAGGGGAUAGGGGAGUGUGCAGCACAUGUCUCCAUACCUUAUUGUUAUUCCCAUUUUCUUGAACUUAGGGGGGGGGGUGGCAGGUGGUGGAGUAGUAAAAAUCUAAUUUGUAUUAUUAUCGAGAUUGCUAAAUUAAAUCCAUAGAUUUAAUUCGUUCGUCA